This 201-nucleotide long non-coding RNA is filed under the name Mytilus galloprovincialis (Mediterranean mussel). The record is from RNAcentral. Lineage: Eukaryota; Metazoa; Mollusca; Bivalvia; Mytilida; Mytilidae.
GGUCUUUUGAUUUAAGGUCCUUGGUUUGUGACCUUGAAAUUGAGGUCAAGGUCAUAGGUUAAUAAGACGUUCUAGAUUUUGACCUUUGCUUUAAAUUCAUAUAAAUACAUCAUAAAGCCAUAGGAACUAACAUUUUAAACUGAUUUUUCAUAUUUCGAUAUCAAAAUAGAUCUUUACUAGUGGAAAGACCUUCAAUUGUUC